GCCCGGGUGGCGGAAUUGGUAGACGCCUGGGACUUAAAAUCCCAUGGGUUGUAUAAGCCCGUGCCGGUUCAAGUCCGGCCCCGGGUA
RNAcentral lists this transfer RNA (87 nucleotides) under Caldithrix sp. RBG_13_44_9. RNAcentral describes it as "tRNA-Leu". It matches the Rfam family "tRNA". Rfam says of the family: Transfer RNA (tRNA) molecules are approximately 80 nucleotides in length. Their secondary structure includes four short double-helical elements and three loops (D, anti-codon, and T loops). Lineage: Bacteria; Pseudomonadati; Calditrichota; Calditrichia; Calditrichales; Calditrichaceae. The record is from RNAcentral.